Molecule: ribosomal RNA, 274 nt
Filed under: uncultured bacterium
Lineage: Bacteria
Description: partial 16S ribosomal RNA
Rfam family: Bacterial small subunit ribosomal RNA
Source: RNAcentral
AUACAGAGGGUGCAAGCGUUAAUCGGAUUUACUGGGCGUAAAGCGCGCGUAGGCGGCUAAUUAAGUCAAAUGUGAAAUCCCCGAGCUUAACUUGGGAAUUGCAUUCGAUACUGGUUAGCUAGAGUGUGGGAGAGGAUGGUAGAAUUCCAGGUGUAGCGGUGAAAUGCGUAGAGAUCUGGAGGAAUACCGAUGGCGAAGGCAGCCAUCUGGCCUAACACUGACGCUGAGGUGCGAAAGCAUGGGGAGCAAACAGGAUUAGAAACCCCUGUAGUCC